AUAUCAAUAAGCGGAGGAAAAGAAACUAACAAGGAUUCCCCUAGUAACGGCGAGCGAACCGGGAAGAGCCCAGAAUGAAAAUCUCCCUUUGGAGAAUUGUAGUCUAUAGAAGCAACCUCUGUAGCGUGCGGUUCUCAAGUCCUCUGGAAAGGGGCAUCAGAGAGGGUGACAAUCCCGUCGGAACCGUUGCUGCUGCCUCACGAGGUGCUUUCACAGAGUCGGGUUGCUUGGGAAUGCAGCCCUAAUUUGGUGGUAAAUCCCAUCUAAGGCUAAAUACUGGCGAGAGACCGAUAGCGCACAAGUA
RNAcentral lists this ribosomal RNA (304 nucleotides) under uncultured Bracteacoccus. Its description in RNAcentral is "partial large subunit ribosomal RNA". It matches the Rfam family "Eukaryotic large subunit ribosomal RNA", at positions 40 to 350 of the family's 3401-position model. The record is from RNAcentral. Lineage: Eukaryota; Viridiplantae; Chlorophyta; Chlorophyceae; Sphaeropleales.